UACGUAGGGUGCAAGCGUUAAUCGGAAUUACUGGGCGUAAAGCGUGCGCAGGCGGCUUUGCAAGACAGAUGUGAAAUCCCCGGGCUCAACCUGGGAACUGCGUUUGAAACUACAAGGCUAGAGUGUGGCAGAGGGGGGUGGAAUUCCACGUGUAGCAGUGAAAUGCGUAGAGAUGUGGAGGAACACCGAUGGCGAAGGCAGCCCCCUGGGUUAACACUGACGCUCAGGCACGAAAGCGUGGGGAGCAAACAGG
This 253-nucleotide ribosomal RNA is filed under the name uncultured bacterium. Its description in RNAcentral is "partial 16S ribosomal RNA". It matches the Rfam family "Bacterial small subunit ribosomal RNA", at positions 524 to 776 of the family's 1533-position model. The record is from RNAcentral.